GAUUUUCCAGGCAAGGAUACUGGAGUGGGUUGCCAUUUCCUCCUCCAGGGGAUCUUUCCCACCCAGUGCUCGAACCUGGGUCUCCUGCACUGCAGGCAGAUUCUUUACUGACUGAGCUACCAACGAAGCCCCCGACCACUGGACCUCCAGGGAAUUCCCACAGCUCUGCCUUACUGAGCUUCGACUUCCUCACCUGCAGAAUGAGGGUGGCAGUCCCUCUGCUGCAGGGCAAGGUGCGGGCUUGGCUGGACAGACGGCGUAAGUGCCUCGCAAGAGGCCGGUGUUCAGCGGACAUCUGGGCAGUCAAACUCCGGGAUCCUCCUCCUCAGGGUCCCACACUGAUGCCAGGAACAUGGAGACGCUGCCUGCCGCUGACCAGCCUGGGAUUUAUGGAGAGGCCCUCGGGGGGCAGCCCUGAGUACUGCCGCGCCCAGCAUCCGCACCGCGCCCGCUGCUGAGGCCCCCGCGCCUCCGGCCUCACCAUUG
Molecule: long non-coding RNA, 486 nt
Organism: Bos taurus (domestic cattle)
Lineage: Eukaryota; Metazoa; Chordata; Mammalia; Artiodactyla; Bovidae
Source: Ensembl